AAUUCGCCCUUAGAGUUUGAUCCUGGCUCAGGACGAACGCUGGCGGCGUGCCUAACACAUGCAAGUCGAACGGAGUUAAGAGAGCUUGCUCUUUUAACUUAGUGGCGGACGGGUGAGUAACGCGUGAGUAACCUGCCUUUCAGAGGGGAAUAACAUUCUAAAAAGAAUGCUAAUACCGCAUGAGAUCGUAGUAUCGCAUGGUACAGCGACCAAAGGAGCAAUCCGCUGAAAGAUGGACUCGCGUCCGAUUAGCUAGUUGGUGAGAUAAAGGCCCACCAAGGCGACGAUCGGUAGCCGGACUGAGAGGUUGAACGGCCACAUUGGGACUGAGACACGGCCCAGACUCCUACGGGAGGCAGCAGUGGGGGAUAUUGCACAAUGGGGGAAACCCUGAUGCAGCAACGCCGCGUGAAGGAAGAAGGUCUUCGGAUUGUAAACUUCUGUCCUCAGGGAAGAUAAUGACGGUACCUGAGGAGGAAGCUCCGGCUAACUACGUGCCAGCAGCCGCGGUAAUACGUAGGGAGCAAGCGUUGUCCGGAUUUACUGGGUGUAAAGGGUGCGUAGGCGGAUCUGCAAGUCAGUAGUGAAAUCCCAGGGCUUAACCCUGGAACUGCUAUUGAAACUGUGGGUCUUGAGUGAGGUAGAGGCAGGCGGAAUUCCCGGUGUAGCGGUGAAAUGCGUAGAGAUCGGGAGGAACACCAGUGGCGAAGGCGGCCUGCUGGGCCUUAACUGACGCUGAGGCACGAAAGCAUGGGUAGCAAACAGGAUUAGAUACCCUGGUAGUCCAUGCCGUAAACGA
This 799-nucleotide ribosomal RNA is filed under the name uncultured bacterium. RNAcentral describes it as "bacterial SSU rRNA". It matches the Rfam family "Bacterial small subunit ribosomal RNA", at positions 1 to 809 of the family's 1533-position model. The record is from RNAcentral.